Molecule: ribosomal RNA, 253 nt
Filed under: uncultured bacterium
Lineage: Bacteria
Description: partial 16S ribosomal RNA
Rfam family: Bacterial small subunit ribosomal RNA
Source: RNAcentral
UACGUAGGGGGCAAGCGUUGUCCGGAUUUAUUGGGCGUAAAGAGCGUGUAGGCGGCCAGAUAGGUCUGCUGUGAAAACUCGAGGCUUAACCUCGAGAUGUCGGCGGAAACUAUCUGGCUAGAGUCCGGAAGAGGAGAGUGGAAUUCCUGGUGUAGCGGUGAAAUGCGCAGAUAUCAGGAAGAACACCCGUGGCGAAGGCGGCUCUCUGGGACGGUACUGACGCUGAGACGCGAAAGCGUGGGGAGCGAACAGG